This 240-nucleotide ribosomal RNA is filed under the name uncultured bacterium. RNAcentral's name for it is "partial 16S ribosomal RNA". It matches the Rfam family "Bacterial small subunit ribosomal RNA", at positions 15 to 244 of the family's 1533-position model. The record is from RNAcentral.
GAUCAUGGCUCAGGAUGAACACUAGCGACAGGCCUAACACAUGCAAGUCGAGGGGCAGCGAAGAGGUAGCAAUACCUUUGUCGGCGACCGGCGUACGGGUGAGUAACACGUAUGCAAUCCACCUGUAACAGGGGGAUAACCCGGAGAAAUCCGGACUAAUACCCCAUAAUAUGGGCGCUCCGCAUGGAAAGCCCAUUAAAGAGAGCAAUUUUGGUUACAGACGAGCAUGCGCUCCAUUAG